UAGGGAAUUGUCGGCAAUGGGCGAAAGCCUGACCGCGCGACGCCGCGUGAAGGAAGAAGGUCUUCGGAUUGUAAACUUCUUUUAUGAGGGAAGAUUAUGACGGUACCUCAUGAAUAAGGGCCUGCUAACUACGUGCCAGCAGCAGCGGUAAUACGUAGGGCCCAAGCAUUAUCCGGAAUUACUGGGCGUAAAGAGUGCGUAGGUGUUCUUAUAAGUCGGUCGUUAAAUCUCAGAGCUUAACUCUGAGGCUGCGAGCGAUACUAUAGGAAUUGAGUCUUUCAGGGGCAAGCAGAAUUCUUGGAGUAGGGGUGAAAUCCGUUGAUACCAAGAGGAAUACCAAUGGCGAAGGCAGCUUGCUAGGAGAUGACUGACACUGAGGCACGAAAGCGUGGGGAGCAAACGGG
Molecule: ribosomal RNA, 404 nt
Filed under: uncultured bacterium
Lineage: Bacteria
Description: bacterial SSU rRNA
Rfam family: Bacterial small subunit ribosomal RNA
Source: RNAcentral